GGUUAAGCGACUAAGCGUACACGGUGGAUGCCCUGGCAGUCAGAGGCGAUGAAGGACGUGCUAAUCUGCGAUAAGCGUCGGUAAGGUGAUAUGAACCGUUAUAACCGGCGAUUUCCGAAUGGGGAAACCCAGUGUGUUUCGACACACUAUCAUUAACUGAAUCCAUAGGUUAAUGAGGCGAACCGGGGGAACUGAAACAUCUAAGUACCCCGAGGAAAAGAAAUCAACCGAGAUUCCCCCAGUAGCGGCGAGCGAACGGGGAGCAGCCCAGAGCCUGAAUCAGUAUGUGUGUUAGUGGAAGCGUCUGGAAAGGCGCGCGAUACAGGGUGACAGCCCCGUACACAAAAAUGCACAUAUUGUGAGCUCGAUGAGUAGGGCGGGACACGUGGUAUCCUGUCUGAAUAUGGGGGGACCAUCCUCCAAGGCUAAAUACUCCUGACUGACCGAUAGUGAACCAGUACCGUGAGGGAAAGGCGAAAAGAACCCCGGCGAGGGGAGUGAAAAAGAACCUGAAACCGUGUACGUACAAGCAGUGGGAGCACGCUUAGGCGUGUGACUGCGUACCUUUUGUAUAAUGGGUCAGCGACUUAUAUUCUGUAGCAAGGUUAACCGAAUAGGGGAGCCGAAGGGAAACCGAGUCUUAACUGGGCGUUAAGUUGCAGGGUAUAGACCCGAAACCCGGUGAUCUAGCCAUGGGCAGGUUGAAGGUUGGGUAACACUAACUGGAGGACCGAACCGACUAAUGUUGAAAAAUUAGCGGAUGACUUGUGGCUGGGGGUGAAAGGCCAAUCAAACCGGGAGAUAGCUGGUUCUCCCCGAAAGCUAUUUAGGUAGCGCCUCGUGAAUUCAUCUCCGGGGGUAGAGCACUGUUUCGGCAAGGGGGUCAUCCCGACUUACCAACCCGAUGCAAACUGCGAAUACCGGAGAAUGUUAUCACGGGAGACACACGGCGGGUGCUAACGUCCGUCGUGAAGAGGGAAACAACCCAGACCGCCAGCUAAGGUCCCAAAGUCAUGGUUAAGUGGGAAACGAUGUGGGAAGGCCCAGACAGCCAGGAUGUUGGCUUAGAAGCAGCCAUCAUUUAAAGAAAGCGUAAUAGCUCACUGGUCGAGUCGGCCUGCGCGGAAGAUGUAACGGGGCUAAACCAUGCACCGAAGCUGCGGCAGCGACACUAUGUGUUGUUGGGUAGGGGAGCGUUCUGUAAGCCUGUGAAGGUGUGCUGUGAGGCAUGCUGGAGGUAUCAGAAGUGCGAAUGCUGACAUAAGUAACGAUAAAGCGGGUGAAAAGCCCGCUCGCCGGAAGACCAAGGGUUCCUGUCCAACGUUAAUCGGGGCAGGGUGAGUCGACCCCUAAGGCGAGGCCGAAAGGCGUAGUCGAUGGGAAACAGGUUAAUAUUCCUGUACUUGGUGUUACUGCGAAGGGGGGACGGAGAAGGCUAUGUUGGCCGGGCGACGGUUGUCCCGGUUUAAGCGUGUAGGCUGGUUUUCCAGGCAAAUCCGGAAAAUCAAGGCUGAGGCGUGAUGACGAGGCACUACGGUGCUGAAGCAACAAAUGCCCUGCUUCCAGGAAAAGCCUCUAAGCAUCAGGUAACAUCAAAUCGUACCCCAAACCGACACAGGUGGUCAGGUAGAGAAUACCAAGGCGCUUGAGAGAACUCGGGUGAAGGAACUAGGCAAAAUGGUGCCGUAACUUCGGGAGAAGGCACGCUGAUAUGUAGGUGAAGUCCCUCGCGGAUGGAGCUGAAAUCAGUCGAAGAUACCAGCUGGCUGCAACUGUUUAUUAAAAACACAGCACUGUGCAAACACGAAAGUGGACGUAUACGGUGUGACGCCUGCCCGGUGCCGGAAGGUUAAUUGAUGGGGUCAGCGCAAGCGAAGCUCUUGAUCGAAGCCCCGGUAAACGGCGGCCGUAACUAUAACGGUCCUAAGGUAGCGAAAUUCCUUGUCGGGUAAGUUCCGACCUGCACGAAUGGCGUAAUGAUGGCCAGGCUGUCUCCACCCGAGACUCAGUGAAAUUGAACUCGCUGUGAAGAUGCAGUGUACCCGCGGCAAGACGGAAAGACCCCGUGAACCUUUACUAUAGCUUGACACUGAACAUUGAGCCUUGAUGUGUAGGAUAGGUGGGAGGCUUGGAAGUGUGGACGCCAGUCUGCAUGGAGCCGACCUUGAAAUACCACCCUUUAAUGUUUGAUGUUCUAACGUUGACCCGUAAUCCGGGUUGCGGACAGUGUCUGGUGGGUAGUUUGACUGGGGCGGUCUCCUCCUAAAGAGUAACGGAGGAGCACGAAGGUUGGCUAAUCCUGGUCGGACAUCAGGAGGUUAGUGCAAUGGCAUAAGCCAGCUUGACUGCGAGCGUGACGGCGCGAGCAGGUGCGAAAGCAGGUCAUAGUGAUCCGGUGGUUCUGAAUGGAAGGGCCAUCGCUCAACGGAUAAAAGGUACUCCGGGGAUAACAGGCUGAUACCGCCCAAGAGUUCAUAUCGACGGCGGUGUUUGGCACCUCGAUGUCGGCUCAUCACAUCCUGGGGCUGAAGUAGGUCCCAAGGGUAUGGCUGUUCGCCAUUUAAAGUGGUACGCGAGCUGGGUUUAGAACGUCGUGAGACAGUUCGGUCCCUAUCUGCCGUGGGCGCUGGAGAACUGAGGGGGGCUGCUCCUAGUACGAGAGGACCGGAGUGGACGCAUCACUGGUGUUCGGGUUGUCAUGCCAAUGGCACUGCCCGGUAGCUAAAUGCGGAAGAGAUAAGUGCUGAAAGCAUCUAAGCACGAAACUUGCCCCGAGAUGAGUUCUCCCUGACUCCUUGAGAGUCCUGAAGGAACGUUGAAGACGACGACGUUGAUAGGCCGGGUGUGUAAGCGCAGCGAUGCGUUGAGCUAACCGGUACUAAUGAACCGUGAGGCUUAACCUU
This 2903-nucleotide ribosomal RNA is filed under the name Escherichia coli. RNAcentral's name for it is "23S ribosomal RNA". It matches the Rfam family "Bacterial large subunit ribosomal RNA". The record is from RNAcentral. Lineage: Bacteria; Pseudomonadati; Pseudomonadota; Gammaproteobacteria; Enterobacterales; Enterobacteriaceae.